GUUUCGGUAGCUCAGUGGUAGAGCGUGGGAUUGCAGCACACGCAGCAAUCAUCCUAAGGUCAGGCGUUCGACCCGCCUUCGGAACU
This 86-nucleotide transfer RNA is filed under the name Cryoendolithus antarcticus. RNAcentral's name for it is "Rachicladosporium antarcticum tRNA-Cys". It matches the Rfam family "tRNA". From Rfam's summary of the family: Transfer RNA (tRNA) molecules are approximately 80 nucleotides in length. Their secondary structure includes four short double-helical elements and three loops (D, anti-codon, and T loops). Further hydrogen bonds mediate the characteristic L-shaped molecular structure. tRNAs have two regions of fundamental functional importance: the anti-codon, which is responsible for specific mRNA codon recognition, and the 3' end, to which the tRNAs corresponding amino acid is attached (by aminoacyl-tRNA synthetases). tRNAs cope with the degeneracy of the genetic code in two manners: having more than one tRNA (with a specific anti-codon) for a particular amino acid; and 'wobble' base-pairing, i.e. permitting non-standard base-pairing at the 3rd anti-codon position. Lineage: Eukaryota; Fungi; Ascomycota; Dothideomycetes; Cladosporiales; Cladosporiaceae. The record is from RNAcentral.